CUUCCAGCUCUGUGAUUCUAUGAAUCUACCUCCAGGUCUCUGGAUGCCAGCUGCCAGGAAUUGCCUGUGGGGAGAGUUGCUGUUGCACUCUGAUCUUAUUUGUGGGCUUUCCUUGCGAGAACAGGAGGUUGGGCUAGAUGGGCGCCCUUUGGCCUGAUCCAGCAGCCCAUCUCUUCUUAUCUUCUAAUGGUGCCCCUGUGCAGAGCAAGAUCCUGCUCUAGAUAGACCUGAGGUCUGAUUCAACAGGGCUGUAUGUAUGUUCUCAUUUACAACUACAAGGUUUUUCCUUCCUUUCUUUUUCUGCCUACAAAGACAUACAAAUUCUCCAGCCUUCUCUGGAUCUGCCUGUGGCUGGUGGAGGAAGCUGGUGGGGGUGGACUAAAUGGUAUUCUGCUAACCAGACAUUGCCUAAUUGGCUGUCUCCCAGGGCUGCUUGUUGCUGCUGUAACUGCUUUAUUUAAUGUUCAGAAGACCCUGUGCUAACUUGCUGUGCACAUUUCCUUGUUGGGGCCUCAAAGGCUUCCACAUCAAACAGCCAGCCCGGGCGCAGGAAAAACCAGCCUUCAGGAAAACAGCAUCUUGUGCAAUGUCUGGCGCAACCUUCCUUGAGGAGAGUUGAAAGGUAUGGGAAGCACUGACCCAUUUUGGAAACCGAGGGUGGUCCAUCUUUGAAGGUCAAACGAGGUGGGGGCUCUCGGAUAGAAAAGAAUAGCACAUAAAUUCUUUGGGAAGAUCUCUUCCCUGUAAUCCGGCUCUGUCCAUGUUAUCUGGAAAGAUUUGCCCACGAAAACAUCAUUUUUUAAAACAACAACAACAACAUUGUUUUAGGUUUCUCGCCAUCCUGGCCACAAGAGAGCUAUCCAAAUGCAAUGUCUUCAAAAUGGCAAAAGAAGUAGUGAGCAUUUUUCAAGGACUUCUUUGAUUCAGAACGAGCUGGUCAUUCAUUCUGUCUUUUAUUAUCUUACAAUCUGAAUGAAUUUAAUUAAUGUAUUAAUUAAUUACAUUUAUACCCACCUCGCUUCCUCCAAAAGGAACACAGGGCAACAAACUCUAAAGGAUACAGCAGUUGCUGUUUUUCAAACAACUUUAAAACAACUUAUUGUACAGCACCAUAUCUUUGCAUAUGAAUGAGCUGGCUUGUAAACGUUCUUAUAAAUAAAUAAAAAAUAGCAAGACAAAUAGAAGCUAAGGUCCUUGCUCGGUUAAAGAAAGCUUAGCCUGCAAUUUUAUGAUCCCUGGGAAGGGCCCAUAGAAAGCAUCUGCAGGCAGAGAGCAUCUACAGAGCAAGGUCUUCAGCAAUAAAGGCUCCCCAGGGUCAGACUGGCCAAAAUUUGGUGCCUCCCCGGUCUGCCCCAGCCCUAGCACCUAGCACUGUGCUGGGCUUUCGGAAGGAGAUCCAAGGGCUCCUGCAGGGUCCUGGAGGCCUCCCAGCUCCUUCCCAAAGCUGAGCAAGUGCAAACUAGUCUUUGAGAAGGAGGUGGGAGCAAUGCCGGAUUUACGUAUAAGCUAAACAAGCUAUAGCUUAGGGCCCCACUCUCUUGGGGGCCCCAAAAAAAUUUAAAGGGGGAAAAAACCUGGAUGUACAUUUCC
Molecule: long non-coding RNA, 1590 nt
Filed under: Podarcis lilfordi (Lilford's wall lizard)
Lineage: Eukaryota; Metazoa; Chordata; Lepidosauria; Squamata; Lacertidae
Source: RNAcentral